Molecule: transfer RNA, 75 nt
Filed under: miscellaneous Crenarchaeota group-1 archaeon SG8-32-1
Lineage: Archaea; Thermoproteati; Candidatus Bathyarchaeota
Also listed under: 1 other name
Description: tRNA-Trp
Rfam family: tRNA
About the family: Transfer RNA (tRNA) molecules are approximately 80 nucleotides in length.
Source: RNAcentral
CGGGAGGUAGCUCAGCUUGGUAGAGCUUCCGAGCCAACCGGAUUGUCGCAGGUUCAAAUCCCGCCCUCCCGACCA